AACAAUUUUGAUAUGUGAUAAAUAAAUUAUGUUCGCACCUUAACAAUUUGCGGAAGAUUGAAAUGUUGUUUUGUUCUCUAUUUUUAGGACGUAAAAAUAUAUGAAAUAUUUUGUAUAUUGUGUUUAGUUCUGUCAACAUUUAAGUAUUGAGACGAAUUUUCUGAAGAAAAAAAAGCAUCGGUUGUAUUUAAACUUUUUCUUUUUCGUAUUUAGAUUGAAUAAAGUUUUGGAGAGGAAAAAAAGGCUGCUGGAAAACAGUCAGACCGGUCAGACAGGUGUGACUGUGUCAGGUGUCUCUGUCCUCCUUUGCAACCAACCCGGAAAGGUUAGAAACGGACGGUUUCUACUCUGGCUUCGUCUCUAACUCUUUAAUACGGAUUCUAACUGAAGUACAAUCAUGGCACCCAGAUAUGAAGGCUUGUCCCAAUGCAAGCUGGCGCUGGUGUUUGCCGUACUUAUGGACCUGUUGGGUGUCUCCUCCCUGCUUGUGGGUAUUUUUGUGCAACUAGAGAUCAAAGGUCAAGACUUUGGGGACCUGCUGGUGUACUCCGGAGCUCUGUUGAUACUCUUUUCCAUGGCGGGCUGGGUCAUUUGGUACAGCGGCAACAUUGAGGGUCUGACCUCCAAAAAGGACCUUGGUUGGGGGAUGAGCAGAGCCGUGGAUAGUAUAGCUCGGACCAUGAGCCGGAGGUUGCCCAGAACACGCAGCAGCCCUUCGUAGGAGGUGGAAGGUAUUGUAAGAGUUGACAUGAAGGAGAAGAACUUAAGGAGCAAACAAGCUACCCCCCCCCCAAGCAAAAGUCAGCGAGGUUACAGCUCCCCGCCCCCGUAAAUUAAGAAAGACAAAGAACACUGGUGGAAUUUGCAUGCCUUUCUUAAAUUAACAUUAAAAAUGUAGAUGAAUAUUCAUGCAA
Oryzias latipes (Japanese medaka) is the source of this 914-nucleotide long non-coding RNA. RefSeq lists it as uncharacterized. The record is from RefSeq and is a predicted model, not a curated record. Lineage: Eukaryota; Metazoa; Chordata; Actinopteri; Beloniformes; Adrianichthyidae.